UCGAGAAUAUUCCACAAUGGGCGAAAGCCUGAUGGAGCGACGCCGCGUGCUUGAAGAAGCCCUUCGGGGUGUAAAGAGCUUUUCUGUUUGAACAAGCUUCGGCUGAGUGUAAAACAGGAAUAAGAGGGUGCUAAUCACGUGCCAGCAGCAGCGGUAAUACGUGACCCUCAAGCGUUAUCCGGAUUUAUUGGGCGUAAAGAGUCUAUAGGCGCCUUGCCGCAUCUUUUGUUAAAUUUCAGAGCUCAACUUUGAAAAUGCGAAAGAGAUGGGUAGGGUAGAGGACGUUAGGGGCUGAUAGAACGGUCAGUGUAGGGGUAAAAUCCGUUGAUAUUGACCGGAAUCCUAAAAGCGAAGGCAUUCAGCUGGGACGUUUCUGACGCUGCAAGACGAAAGCGUGGGU
Molecule: ribosomal RNA, 400 nt
Filed under: uncultured bacterium
Lineage: Bacteria
Description: bacterial SSU rRNA
Rfam family: Bacterial small subunit ribosomal RNA
Source: RNAcentral